UGUGUAGGUGGCCUGUUAAGUUCCGUGUGAAAUCUCCCGGCUCAACCGGGAGGGUGCGCGGAAAACUGGCGGGCUAGAGUGCGGGAUGGGAGAGUAGAAUUCCUGGUGUAGCGGUGAAAUGCGUAGAUAUCAGGAGGAAUACCGGUGGUGUAGACGGCUCUCUGGACCGUAACUGACACUGAAACACGAAAGCGUGGGUAGCAAACAGGAUUAGAUACCCUGGUAGUCCACGCCCUAAACGAUGCACAUUUGGUGUAGGUCAUUCAGUUGAUCUGUGCCGGAGCUAACGCGUUAAAUGUGCCGCCUGGGGAUACAGUCGCAAGGCUGAA
This 329-nucleotide ribosomal RNA is filed under the name uncultured bacterium. RNAcentral's name for it is "bacterial SSU rRNA". It matches the Rfam family "Bacterial small subunit ribosomal RNA", at positions 568 to 898 of the family's 1533-position model. The record is from RNAcentral.